UUGACCUCGAAUCAGGUAGGGAUACCCGCUGAAUUAAGCAUAUCA
This 45-nucleotide ribosomal RNA is filed under the name Ascomycota sp. Js_6553/2. Its description in RNAcentral is "partial 28S ribosomal RNA". The record is from RNAcentral. Lineage: Eukaryota; Fungi; Ascomycota.